AGUGGCGUACGGGUGAGUAACACGUGACUAACCUUCCUUCGAGUGGGGAAUAACCUCGGGAAACCAGGGCUAAUACCGCAUAACAUCCUAGAGUGAAACUCUCUUGGAUCAAAGGGGUAAGACGCUUGAAGAGGGGGUCGCGGCUGAUUAGUUAGUUGGCGGGGUAAUGGCCCACCAAGACGAUGAUCAGUAUCCGGCCUGAGAGGGCGCACGGACACACUGGAACUGAAACACGGUCCAG
This 241-nucleotide ribosomal RNA is filed under the name uncultured bacterium. RNAcentral describes it as "partial 16S ribosomal RNA". It matches the Rfam family "Bacterial small subunit ribosomal RNA", at positions 94 to 334 of the family's 1533-position model. The record is from RNAcentral.